RNAcentral lists this ribosomal RNA (206 nucleotides) under uncultured bacterium. RNAcentral describes it as "partial 16S ribosomal RNA". It matches the Rfam family "Bacterial small subunit ribosomal RNA", at positions 568 to 774 of the family's 1533-position model. The record is from RNAcentral.
UGCGUAGGCGGGUUUCUAAGUCAGAGGUGAAAGCCUGGAGCUCAACUCCAGAACUGCCUUUGAUACCGGAAGUCUUGAGUUCGGGAGAGGUGAGUGGAACUGCGAGUGUAGAGGUGAAAUUCGUAGAUAUUCGCAAGAACACCAGUGGCGAAGGCGGCUCACUGGCCCGAUACUGACGCUGAGGCACGAAAGCGUGGGAGCAAACA